Molecule: long non-coding RNA, 1720 nt
Organism: Papaver somniferum (opium poppy)
Lineage: Eukaryota; Viridiplantae; Streptophyta; Magnoliopsida; Ranunculales; Papaveraceae
Exons: 11
Source: RefSeq, a predicted model, not a curated record
CUAUCUGUUAUUCUCUCUCUUCACUAGCACCGCAAAACCCAUCCCUUCUCCUUUUUUUUCUUUCUCCGCUCACUCCGGUCUUCACCUCACCACAGACAAAAGAUUCACAAUCCACUACUUCAAUCACCACAAUAACACCUUAUUGUUCAUAUUCUCCAUCGAUCAAGUUCUAAAGCUCAAAAUCAGUGAAACCCCGAGAACCCUAGAUUACAAAUCUGAUUUGUUUCUCAAUUCAAAGAUUGAAACUCACUGUUAGGAAUUAAAGCUUUAUCUUAACACAUAUCUCAAAAUCAAAACCCAUGUAUUUGAAGAAAUUAAAGGAAACUUUGUAACCCUAAAUCUAGUUGAUUUGAUUUUGAAAUCAUCAUGGUAAUAUCAAUCAUGUUCUUGUUUCAUAAAUUUGAUAAAUUUUUAGUAUUAUAAACGACUUGGUUUCUCGUAAUUUUGUUUCGUUUUUGCAGUCAGGUGUUUCUUUUUCUAAUUUUCGUCACAAGAGCACAUCAAGUUGGUAGAAGAUUUCUUCUCCUAGUGUAUGAAACAAAACCCCUAAAUCUAAUAAUGAAAAUAAAGUAUAAUUUGAUAUUUAACCCUAACUUGCAAAAGUUCCAAGAGUGAGAUUUAAUCCUAAAGAGGUGCAAGUUGAAAUUGAUUUUUCACUGGAUUUUGGAGAAAAUUAUGACGAUAAUGUUGUUUAUCAUUUGAGGAUAACAAAGCAGACAUUGGUAUCGAAGAAGGUGCCACUCGCCAAAGGAUUUUCUAUUGGGAUUCUUGUUGGAAAUCAGGAUGGGAGAGAAAGUGACCGAGAAAGUGAUGAUGCCCCAGCAGCAUCAAAAAAACAGGCAAAGCGAGCAUGCGAAAAAACAUAAGUAGGACAAAGGAAGGGGAAACUAACUGACAUGUUAGGACCCGAGUGGAGCAAGGAAGAGCUUAAAUGCUUCUACGAACCAUUUCGAAAGUAUGGGAAAGACUGGAAAAAGGUAGCUGGUGUGGUGGGUAACAUAUCCACAAAAAUGGUGGAAGCACUUUACGAUAUAAACAGGUUGAAAAGUUUACUAUUGAUGGUGUUAAUAAGAUUGGAGUUAUGGAGCUAUUUUUGAUUUAACUAAGCUAAGGGGGUAUAACCAUGCAUCUCACUCCGGUUGCAUCAGUCGUGGAUUCACCAAGUUUAUACAUUUGGACUUGCUGGGAUAUAUAGUCGAGGAUUUUGGAAUCUUUUCUUAAAAAUUGUUUUUGUACAACAAGUUCGUUCUUAUAUCUGAAUUAUUUUUCUGUUUGUUUGUCUCAGUUUAGGUACAUUAUUCAAAUGUUGCGUUUGUCUCGUGCAAUGAUGUUGCAACUUAGUGGUCAGGGAGUGAAACUUGUCCUUACUCUCGGCUCUGUAAGGUUAUGAAAGGUACUCAUCCAACAAUCCAGUCAGCAGCACAAACAUCACAUCAGCAGUAUGCAAAGAGAUGCAUACUACUGGUCUGGGCAAAUGCAGUACAAUGGAGCUCUAAGGUACACCAUUCUAAAAGUAUGGCUUAAGUUCAUCAUCAUCCGGAAGUUUAUUGUUUUGCUGUUUAAUCAAUCGAUUAUUAGUUUAUCAUUUUGUAACCGAGUCUUAGAACUUAAUUACUUUUCUGGUUGUAAGAACUUAAAUUGGUCUGAAGUUAAGAUUUUAUACCUUUUAUGUGUAAUUUGAACCUAUUGAAUGUUGAAUUGAAAGACCAUUUGUGUGCAA